AUAUAUAUAUAUAUAUAUAUUCCCAAAACCAACUCGAUCAUCUCUAAUUCCAAUUCCAUUAAUAAUUCAAUAUCUAAUUCCUCAUUCAUACAACAAAGCCACCUCCUUUACUCACCACAAACCUCCUAGCUAGCUAGCUCCUGAUCAUCACUCAAACAAUAUAUCUCCACGUAGCCCAAUCCAACAACAAUCCCUCCAAGCCGUCCAGAGGGACGUCAAAAGGUCGUUGAAAUUAAUGCAACGAUCGAGCAGCUCCGGGCAUUCAUGAGUCAUGACCCUCGCGUGGAGAAGAUAUAUAGAAAAAGGGCAAGUAGUAGUGAAGGAGAUUACGGAAAAGGGAAGGUUUCAUGAUAAGCAUUUGGUGGUGCUUUAAUUUGGAACAUGCAUGUUGGUUGGCAAAACAAAGGUGGGAAUUAAUAUUGUAAUUGAGUGAAGUUUUGCCGGAGUUUGAGAGGAUUCAUCAGGAGUUGAGUGAAGGGGUUAAUAUCGAUCCGGUAUAUAUAUAUGUGUGUGUGUGUGUGUGUGUGUGUGUGUGUGUGUGAACAGUGUGAUCAGUUGUUUUUGGACAAGAAGACGAGAAUACUAGUACUUGAAUGCAUGAUCAUGAUUGAUUAUAUGGCCUGUAAUUAAUAUUGACUUCUAUUUAUUAGUAUUUGCUUAAUUUUUAAGGAAAUUAGAGAUUGCAUAUAUGCAUUAUAAAUAAAUGCAAUGCAAUGCAAAAAUAUUUUAGGACUACCUAGAAAAAACCAA
RNAcentral lists this long non-coding RNA (750 nucleotides) under Panax ginseng (ginseng). RNAcentral describes it as "long non-coding RNA (PGIN_LNC017278)". The record is from RNAcentral. Lineage: Eukaryota; Viridiplantae; Streptophyta; Magnoliopsida; Apiales; Araliaceae.